AUUUCGAAGACAACUAGGAUGUUGGCUCAGAAGCAGCCAUUCAUUCAAAGAGUGCGUAAUAGCUCACUAGUCGAGAGGUCCUGCGCCGAAAAUGUCCGGGGCUAAAACACACUGCCGAAGCUUUGGAAUUGAAUUAAUUCAAUUGGUAGAGGAGCAUUCUUAAAGGGACGAAGCAGUACCGUAAGGAGCUGUGGACUUUUAAGAAGAGAGAAUGCCGGAAUGAGUAGCGAGAGGAAGGUGGGAAUCCUUCCGGCCGAAUAUCUAAGGUUUCCAGAGUAAAGCUGAUCUGCUCUGGGUAAGUCGGGGCCUAAGGCGAGGUCGAAAGACGUAGUCGAUGGAUAACAGGUUGAAAUUCCUGUACUACCCUGUAACAGAACUGUGGGGACACAGGCAGAGAGCGUGAGCCGGGAAUGGAAAGACCGGUAUAAGCGAGGUAGGAGAAGAGUUGGCAAAUCCGCUCUUUAAUCUGAAGACGUGAUGUGGACUGAAAAUAAGUAGGGAAGCACGUGAGCUGACUGUCAAGAAAAGCCGCUAUUGUUUGCAGGAUACCCGUACCGUAAACCGACACAGGUGGAUGAGGAGAGAAUCCUAAGGCCGACGGGAGAAGCAUUGUUAAGGAACUCGGCAAAAUGACUCCGUAACUUCGGGAGAAGGAGUGCCAGUAAGAUGGCCGCAGAGAAUUGGCCCAAGCAACUGUUUAGCAAAAACACAGGUCUAUGCAAAACCGAAAGGUGAGGUAUAUGGGCUGACGCCUGCCCGGUGCUGGAAGGUUAAGGGGAGAGGUUAGCGCAAGCGAAGCUUUGAACUUAAGCCCCAGUAAACGGCGGCCGUAACUAUAACGGUCCUAAGGUAGCGAAAUUCCUUGUCGGGUAAGUUCCGACCCGCACGAAAGGCGUAAUGAUUUGGGCACUGUCUCAACAAUGCACCCGGUGAAAUUGAAAUACCAGUGAAGAUGCUGGUUACCUGCGCCAGGACGGAAAGACCCCAUGGAGCUUUACUCCAGCUUGAUACUGGGAUUCGGUAUUGCAUGUACAGGAUAGGUGGGAGGCUAGGAAAUGGUAACGCCAGUUGCCAUGGAGCCAAUGUUGGGAUACCACCCUUGCAGUACUGGGUUUCUAACCAGCAGCCGUGAUCCGGCUAGGGGACAAUGUCAGGUGGGGAGUUUGACUGGGGCGGUCGCCUCCGAAAGGGUAUCGGAGGCGCUCAAAGGUUCCCUCAGAAUGGUUGGAAACCAUUCGAAGAGUGCAAAGGCAGAAGGGAGCUUGACUGCGACACCGACGGGUGGAGCAGGUACGAAAGUAGGACUUAGUGAUCCGGUGGUAUAAAGUGGGAUUGCCAUCGCUCAACGGAUAAAAGCUACCCUGGGGAUAACAGGCUUAUCACUCCCAAGAGUUCACAUCGACGGAGUGGUUUGGCACCUCGAUGUCGGCUCAUCGCAUCCUGGGGCUGAAGUAGGUCCCAAGGGUUGGGCUGUUCGCCCAUUAAAGCGGUACGCGAGCUGGGUUCAGAACGUCGUGAGACAGUUCGGUCCCUAUCCGGCGUGGGCGUAAGAUAUUUGAGAGGAGCUGUCCUUAGUACGAGAGGACCGGGAUGGACUGGCCGCUGGUGUAUCUGUUGUCUUACCAAAGGCAUAGCAGAGUAGCCAAGCCGGGAAGGGAUAAACGCUGAAGGCAUCUAAGCGUGAAGCCCCCCUCAAGAUGAGAUAUCUCAUAACGUCAAGUUAGUAAGACCCCUUGAAGACGACGAGGUAGAUAGGGCAGAGGUGGAAGUGUGGUAACACAUGGAGCUGACUGUUACUAAUAGGUCGAGGGCAUAACCAA
Molecule: ribosomal RNA, 1820 nt
Filed under: human gut metagenome
Description: bacterial LSU rRNA
Rfam family: Bacterial large subunit ribosomal RNA
Source: RNAcentral